This 367-nucleotide unclassified non-coding RNA is filed under the name soil metagenome. RNAcentral's name for it is "partial contains 5.8S ribosomal RNA, internal transcribed spacer 2, and large subunit ribosomal RNA". The stretch from base 1 to 120 matches the Rfam family "5.8S ribosomal RNA", at positions 35 to 154 of the family's 154-position model. The record is from RNAcentral.
GAUGAAGAACGUAGCGAAAUGCGAUAAGUAGUGUGAAUUGCAGAAUUCAGUGAAUCAUCGAAUCUUUGAACGCACAUUGCGCCCCAUGGUAUUCCGUGGGGCAUGCCUGUUCGAGCGUCAUUUACCCCCUCAAGCUCCGCUUGGUGUUGGAGACUGGCGGGGCGCAUGCGCCCGGAGCCACUCCCAAAUACAAUGACGGCGGCGACGAUGACCCCCGGUACACUGAGCUUCUCACCGAGCACGUGCUGGAAGGGUCUUGUGGCCACGGUCUGCCUCCCCUCUGGGAGAAACGGAUUUCAUCCACCAAGGUUGACCUCGGAUCAGGUAGGGAUACCCGCUGAACUUAAGCAUAUCAAUAAGCGGAGGA